Molecule: ribosomal RNA, 446 nt
Filed under: uncultured bacterium
Lineage: Bacteria
Description: SSU rRNA
Rfam family: Bacterial small subunit ribosomal RNA
Source: RNAcentral
AGAACGAACGCUGGCGGCAGGCCUCAAACAUGCAAGUCUAGGGGGCGUAGCAAUACGUCACCGGCGGACGGGUGCGUAACACGUGGGAAUGUACUUAUUGGUUCGGAACAACUCAGGGAAACUUGAGCUAAUACCGAAUGUGCCCGAAAGGGGAAAGAUUUAUCGCCAAUAAAUCAGCCCGCGUCCGAUUAGCUAGUUGGUGGGGUAAAGGCCCACCAAGGCGACGAUCGGUAGCUGUUCUGAGAGGAAGAUCAGCCACACUGGGACUGAGACACGGCCCAGACUCCUACGGGAGGCAGCAGUUGGGAAUCUUGGACAUGGGGAAACCCUGAUCCAGCCAUGCCGCGUGAGUGAUGAAGGCCUUCGGGUUGUAAAACUCUUUCGACGGGGACGAUAAUGACGGUACCCGUAGAAGAAGCUCCGGCUAACUUCGUGCCAGCAGCCGC